GUUGACCUCGGAUCAGGUAGGAAUACGCGCUGAACUUAAGCAUAUCAAUAAGCGCAGGAAAAGAAACCAACAGGGAUUACCUCAGUAACGGCGAGUGAAGCGGUAAUAGCUCAAAUUUGAAAUCUGGCCUCUCGGGGUCCGAGUUGUAAUUUGUAGAGGACGUUUUGGGUACCGCCCCGGUCUAAAUUUCUUGGAACAGAAUGUCAUAGAGGGUGAGAAUCCCGUCUUGGACCGGCGGUAGGGCCUGUGUAAAACUCCUUCGACGAGUCGAGUUGUUUGGGAAUGCAGCUCAAAAUGGGUGGUAAAUUUCAUCUAAAGCUAAAUAUUGGCCAGAGACCGAUAGCGCACAAGUAGAGUGAUCGAAAGAUGAAAAGCACUUUGAAAAGAGAGUUAAACAGUAUGUGAAAUUGUUGAAAGGGAAGCGCUUGCAACCAGACUUGAGCGCGGCGGUUCCCCCGGCCUUUUGGCCGGGCUACUCCGCCGUGUCCAGGCCAACAUCGGUUCUGAGGGUCGGUCAAAGGCCCCGGGAAUGUAUCUACCCACGGGUAGACUUAUAGACCGGGGUGUCAUGCGGCCUCUCGGGACCGAGGAACGCGCUUCGGCUCGGAUGUUGGCGUAAUGGUUGUCAGCGACCCGUCUUGAAACACGGACCAAGGAGUCUAACAUCUAUGCGAGUGUUUGGGUGUCAAACCCGGAACGCGAAAUGAAAGUGAACGGAGGUAGGAAGCUUCGGCUGCACUAUCGACCGAUCCUGAAGUUUACGGAAGGAUUUGAGUAAGAGCAUAGCUGUUGGGACCCGAAAGAUGGUGAACUAUGCCUGAAUAGGGUGAAGCCAGAGGAAACUCUGGUGGAGGCUCGCAGCGGUUCUGACGUGCAAAUCGAUCGUCAAAUUUGGGUAUAGGGGCGAAAGACUAAUCGAACCAUCAGAGACACACUGCGUUAUCAAAGGUGGAAGAACUUGAAAAGAUCCCUCAAAAUACGAGUAGGCGCGCCAGUUGAUGGGUCAUGGCUGACGCGUUCCAGAAGCUAAUGACUCCUGCGCCCGGCGCGAUCCCCCGCCGGCCAGCGAAAAAUGGCAAGGGGACACAAACGGAUCCCGCUACGCGAAAGCGUAGCGGUUCCGAGUCAAUACUUGCCAUGUAGGCUUUAUGGGAGAAAAGGGAAUCCCGCUCGUAUUUUAUGACCCGACCCGGGGACAACAAUAUCCUUAUUUAAGGAGCAUCUUUAUCAACGUAUUCUUACCGUAGUAGUUACCGGUGGUUGAGUGUAACCAUGAAAGUGGUUGCAAGUGCCUAGUUCUGGCGCGACACUAUCAAAUUGCGGGGACUCCCUAAAGCUUUAACGACCGCCCCGCCUAUGAAAAUAUGGCGCGGGCACCGGGUUAAUGACCCCGGGUAUGGUAAAACUGUUAAAGAUGCGACAAUGGGUAAUCUGCAGCCAAGUCCUAAGGGCCUAUUGGCCUAUGGACACAGUUCACAGACUAAAUGGUAGUGGGCUCUUCGUGGGCUUAAGAUAUAGUCGGUCCCCCAGGGAAACCUGGGCACACUCGCUAAAUCUGGAGGGAAGACUCUGCCUCGGGCAGUUCCUCCAGACCUGAACGCGUGUGGGCGCCCUUCGGGGUGUCGGGUAGAAUGCUGGUAGCUGGUUCCUGCCGAAGUUUCCCUCAGGAUAGCAGUAACGUUUUCAGUUUUAUGAGGUAAAGCGAAUGAUUAGAGGCCUUGGGGUUGAAACAACCUUAACCUAUUCUCAAACUUUAAAUAUGUAAGAAGUCCUUGUUACUUAAUUGAACGUGGACAUUUGAAUGUACCGUUACUAGUGGGCCAUUUUUGGUAAGCAGAACUGGCGAUGCGGGAUGAACCGAACGUGAGGUUAAGGUGCCGGAAUGCACGCUCAUCAGACACCACAAAAGGUGUCAAUGCAUCUAGACAGCCGGACGGUGGCCAUGGAAGUCGGAAUCCGCUUAGGAGUGUGUAACAACUCACCGGCCGAAUGCAUUGGCCCUGAAAAUGGAUGGCGCUUAAGCGUGCUACCUAUACCUCGCCGUUAGGGUUGACAUGAUGCCCUAACGAGUAGGCAGGCGUGGAGGUCCGUGACGAAGC
Molecule: ribosomal RNA, 2099 nt
Filed under: Chaetothyriales sp. CR0723
Lineage: Eukaryota; Fungi; Ascomycota; Eurotiomycetes; Chaetothyriales
Description: eukaryotic LSU rRNA
Rfam family: Eukaryotic large subunit ribosomal RNA
Source: RNAcentral